AACACAGCAUGCUGCAGAUGUGUGCUUUGUGAGAGGUUGGAUUAGAUCAUCGCCAUGGAAAGGAAAUACAUUAACUGUGUCUCCUGGAGGCAAAACCAGCAAAUCCAGGGGGAUGGAUGGAAUGCUAGAUGCCUCAUGAGAAUUCUGCAUUGUCAGAGCAUUUAUACUGAAUAUUUUAUAGAUACAUGUCUGGUUGGUUCCCCUAUUGAGGUUCUGAGUCCCUGGCUGUUACUGGUGUGUUGGAAAGCAAUGACUCCUCAGAUGUUCUUGUAUACCUUUAUCUGUCUGCCUCCAAUUACUUUAUGAGCUCAUGAAAAUGAACACAAGGCAUCUUUGACAUUCCUCUCUCUCAUUUCCUCUCCUAUUUUUUACAUAGGGCACUUUUGCCAAUAACUCUUUCCUAGUAAAACAAUGCCUCUGAAUUCAUGCUGUGUGUAUAUGUCUGUCUGUGUAUGUGAUUCCAUGUACCCUCCCUCCCCACCUCCCCAAGUGUUUGAGCCUGUUGGCAAAAGAAUACAGAUCUGAAAGUGAAGUUCCUGUGAGGUUGAAAGAGAGAGGCAGAUGGGUACAUGAGAGAGCCUGUUUGUGCUAGAAGCAUCAACAUGCUACCAGCUCAGCUCACCUUUUAUCAGGCACCAGAGAGCUCCCACUGGAGCGUGCCCUUGGAAAUCAGACUUCAUCCUGUCUGUCAGUCAUGGACUACUCAUUCAUGCUGAUGGUUUUGGAAUAAAGAUGGGAAGGAGGGGGUGGAAAAGCUGGAGCUUCUCUUUUCUGCACUUUCAAGAUGUAUGGUUGUCUCCU
Neopelma chrysocephalum (saffron-crested tyrant-manakin) is the source of this 801-nucleotide long non-coding RNA. RefSeq lists it as uncharacterized. The record is from RefSeq and is a predicted model, not a curated record. The transcript has 3 exons. NCBI's taxonomy places the organism in Eukaryota, Metazoa, Chordata, Aves, Passeriformes, Pipridae.